AGCUACAGGCUUAACACAUGCAAGUCGAGGGGCAUCAGGAAGAAAGCUUGCUUUCUUUGCUGGCGACCGGCGCACGGGUGAGUAACACGUAUCCAACCUGCCCUUUACUCGGGGAUAGCCUUUCGAAAGAAAGAUUAAUACCCGAUAGCAUAAUGAUUCCGCAUGGUUUCAUUAUUAAAGGAUUCCGGUAAAGGAUGGGGAUGCGUUCCAUUAGGUUGUUGGUGAGGUAACGGCUCACCAAGCCUUCGAUGGAUAGGGGUUCUGAGAGGAAGGUCCCCCACAUUGGAACUGAGACACGGUCCAAACUCCUACGGGAGGCAGCAGUGAGGAAUAUUGGUCAAUGGGCGCUAGCCUGAACCAGCCAAGUAGCGUGAAGGAUGAAGGCUCUAUGGGUCGUAAACUUCUUUUAUAUAAGAAUAAAGUGCAGUAUGUAUACUGUUUUGUAUGUAUUAUAUGAAUAAGGAUCGGCUAACUCCGUGCCAGCAGCCGCGGUAAUACGGAGGAUCCGAGCGUUAUCCGGAUUUAUUGGGUUUAAAGGGAGCGUAGGUGGACUGGUAAGUCAGUUGUGAAAGUUUGCGGCUCAACCGUAAAAUUGCAGUUGAUACUGUCAGUCUUGAGUACAGUAGAGGUGGGCGGAAUUCGUGGUGUAGCGGUGAAAUGCUUAGAUAUCACGAAGAACUCCGAUUGCGAAGGCAGCUCACUGGACUGCAACUGACACUGAUGCUCGAAAGUGUGGGUAUCAAACAGGAUUAGAUACCCUGGUAGUCCACACAGUAAACGAUGAAUACUCGCUGUUUGCGAUAUACAGUAAGCGGCCAAGCGAAAGCAUUAAGUAUUCCACCUGGGGAGUACGCCGGCAACGGUGAAACUCAAAGGAAUUGACGGGGGCCCGCACAAGCGGAGGAACAUGUGGUUUAAUUCGAUGAUACGCGAGGAACCUUACCCGGGCUUAAAUUGCAGUGGAAUGAUGUGGAAACAUGUCAGUGAGCAAUCACCGCUGUGAAGGUGCUGCAUGGUUGUCGUCAGCUCGUGCCGUGAGGUGUCGGCUUAAGUGCCAUAACGAGCGCAACCCUUAUCUUCAGUUACUAACAGGUCAUGCUGAGGACUCUGGAGAGACUGCCGUCGUAAGAUGUGAGGAAGGUGGGGAUGACGUCAAAUCAGCACGGCCCUUACGUCCGGGGCUACACACGUGUUACAAUGGGGGGUACAGAAGGCAGCUAGCGGGUGACCGUAUGCUAAUCCCAAAAGCCUCUCUCAGUUCGGAUCGAAGUCUGCAACCCGACUUCGUGAAGCUGGAUUCGCUAGUAAUCGCGCAUCAGCCACGGCGCGGUGAAUACGUUCCCGGGCCUUGUACACACCGCCCGUCAAGCCAUGGGAGCCGGGGGUACCUGAAGUACGUAACCGCAAGGAUCGUCCUAGGGUAAAACUGGUGACUGGGGCUAAGUCAUAACAAG
RNAcentral lists this ribosomal RNA (1454 nucleotides) under uncultured organism. Its description in RNAcentral is "SSU rRNA". It matches the Rfam family "Bacterial small subunit ribosomal RNA". The record is from RNAcentral.